UUUCCUUCUGUACAGAACCUUGUACAAGGCUCUUAGAUGCCAUCUAGGUCUUCCUGCAAAAGAAAAAGUUGCUUUACCUCAAUUCUUACAUAAACAUUCAUUCAUUUCAUCCACCUUAUACUAAUCGAGCAAGCUAAACUUUUCAAAGGCUCUAAUCUGGCUCCAGCUCCAGACAUUUUGAAACGGCAAUUACCGCCUCGUAGGCUCCAUGCUUUAUUUUAAUCAAUAUUACACUUUACAUAUCGUAAUUUUAGACAAAGUAUGUUAAUUUUAAUUAUAGUUAACAUUUAUGUCAAUUGCCGGAACGGUACUGAACCCAUUCAUGUAUGCUCCGGCCUCAAGUUCCUUGGAUAUUUCAUGAUCUUCCUCAUAUUUUUCGAUAAUUGCAGUCUCGUAUUACUCCGUCGUUUCACUAUUAUUGCAGUUUUUCAUCCUGGCCAAGAAUGUGUUUUUCAAAUGGAUCACCCCGGCAUACGGGUUGUGAAUUGUGCUGGGGCUCGCAACUUCAAGUUCUUUCUCCUUUCUGUUGUGAGAACAGUUGCAUUUCCCAUCAAUCUAUAGUCUUGUUGUAUAUAAAUAUAAGACUUCCGCUGAGGAUAUUUAUGGUGAUGCUUACUCUAUGCAUACUGUAUGUUAAUUGAGAAACCUCUGGAAUAAAAUGGAGGCACCAAAUAAAAAUGUUGGGGUGGGGGGAUGGUGUAUUUAGUUUUUAUUUUUGAAAUUGAGGAGGAGAGACUAGAGCCUUUCCAAUGUCUAACGCCUUGUUAUUUCUUUUAUCUUCCAUCAGUUUAUUCAUCAAAAGCAUAGAAGAAUUAAUUUGUUCAUUCGGCUUUUACAUAAAAUUUUACAUUUACUUUUUGCAUUAACUUGGGUUCUAUCAGAUUAAUUUCUCUUCCACAUAAAGAAAAACUGGAAUUUCGCAUAUUUUUGGCUCUGAUCUUUAGAUAUUUUACACUUUCGCAUACCUGACAUGGGCUCUAUAAUAAGUCUUGAGAACUGUAGGAAUGGUUAGUUGAAUUUCAUUGUAAUGACAACUUGCUCUUCGUAAUGUGAAUUCAAUGAAAUGAAACACAUUGCUUGGAACUUUAUUAAAGAUGAAGUGCUUUGGUUUCGAUUCCCACCGAUAUUCAAUUGCUUUUCAGAAUCUACUACGUUAGAUAGUCCUAAUGGACCUUGCACACUAAACUAAAUAUGAAUUAAAGUUUUUCUUUUUUGCAAAUAUGCAUCGAAGUUUGUUUACUGUUAUUCUUCAUACAAUCUGAAGAUAUUUCAACCAUUAUUUCCAUAUAUUUUAAUCCCUGAGAAAAUGCCUUUAAACUCUAUCUGCUACUCCACAUAUUUAUACGACAUUUUCUAAUUAUAUCAAACUGAGCCCAAUCAGUCAUUUCACAGUUUAUAAACUUCACUUUCCUUUAGUGGCAUCAGUCACCAUGUCAGUUGUUCCCUCAAGGUAACAAGAACAAGAGAUAAGCCAGCCUCCCUAGACCAUAUGGGGUAUUUCGGAAGGAAAACGAGGUUUUCUUUCAGUUUCUUUUCUAUAUAUGUGAAUGGACUCUUGGAAUGAUUUUUGUUUUUUUUUGUUUUUUUGUCUUUUUGUUUUUUAUAGCUUUAUUCCUUUCUAGAGACAGCAAUGAAUACUCUUGUGCUUCUACCCAACUUCAUAGAUUUUUAUAAUCAUGCCAGUCGUCAUUCCACUUCAAGUAGACAACUUUCUGUCACUUUCCUUUCCUUCGGUAAUUUCUCCUUCUAAAUAAAUGAUCAUCAUAUCAAUAUGCUGUAUCUACCUCUUCAUCAUUUUAGCGUUUCUUACAUAUUCUGUACCUUGUUGCAGUUCUGAAUUUAGCUUUUGCUCUAAGUCUUCUUUGUUUCGUAAUUAUGCAUUCAUCUCUUCUAGUGAGCAACGCCACUUUGGUUGAGGUAUUGAAUGGUUUGUUGCAGAACCACUUCUGAAAAAUACUCUGUAUUUCAGUUCCUUGCUAUCUGGAAACUUAUCAGAAUUUGAGCUAAUGUUGUAGUCAAUUAGGUAAUAGAUUUACUGCACUUCCGAUUUAUUUUCUUUAUUUAGGUUUUUGGCACUAGAAAGUUAUUUUGGUUCUUCCCACUAUUUGCAAAGGAAGAUUUGGAGAAAAUACCUGUACUAAAUGGCCUAGAUUUUCCCACGCGCUCAUAUAUUGAAGCAUGAGGAACAUUGAUCACCUUCCGAAGUAUGUCUGUUAUUUUUCUUUAGUAGUCACUAAUUUUCAUAAGGUGGGUUUUCUAAUUCGUUCUAUAAAAUUUAAAAUUUAUAAGUUCUUGGUUUUUGGUAAUUUGUCCUUGUAGCAUCUAUAAAGUUGAAUCAUUUACAAAAAACACAUUUUUGCACAAGCAUAUAUAUCUUAUUGUGAACUGAGAAAUAUUGGACAUACUUGUAUCAUGUGCCCCAUAAUCUCAUAAAAUCUACUGUCUAUCUGUGUAGUUUCCAACUUUUGGACCUGCAUGUUCUCUUUUUCGUGAAAUAGAACUCUCAGUUCUUCUGGCUCAGUUAAUGGCAUGUUGAUCUGGCUAUAAUUGAUCCUAUAAAUUCAAUAGAAAUGCUAUUUUUUUACUUUUGUUGUUCAUGAAUACAAACAUGAUUGACACAAGUUUCCCUUUAUCUUAAAGUUAGCUUUCAAAUCAUUUAUACUAUAUAUGGUGCAGAUUUUGAAAUUUGAUGAAUUUGAUCUUUUCUCCAUGAGCCCACUCCUCCCUGAGCUGUCUGCAUCUCAUGAUAGCAGCCUUAUUUCAUCUCUUUGCACAAAACAGAAGGCGUAUCAAAUGAAUGAUUCAUUGAUUGAAGGCCCCCAUUUAUGAAUUAUAUUAUAGUCCGAGAAAUGCUACAUCUAAGCCCAGGUUUACCACCUGGGUGAUAGAAUGUAGAGGUGGCAACAUUUCAUAGGCUGGUGGACAAAAAAAAAAAAGUUCCACCAGCCUAUGAAAUCUUGCCACUUGUGCAUUCUAUCAAACCCACCUGGGUGUACCAAGUAUCAUUUUUCUUAUAGUUCUAUUUGAGUAGAUUACAAACACUAAAAUGCAUGCUUACUGGGGAAGGUGACAUUUUGGCCUUGCAUAUCUCCUCCCUAACAUCAUUGCUUUCCUCUUUUCAAUAUUAUAGACCUGCUAGUCACUCAUUAGAAAUCAUGCUUAAAGGUAUUCAAAUUGACAUAUAAUACUCAUAUGCUUGGUAUCAAUUACAUGUAUUUUGUCCCACAAGAAAGCAGAAAGUUUUGUGGUGAUACACAGGCACAGACUUCUUGUACCACGCUCCCAGCAAGGAGCCUGCUGGAAAUCAUACGAACAAACAGCUUUUUCUUAAUGGCAGCUGAGUCGGUUGAUCAUCUAUCGGGUCGUGAAAUGUCUUUUUCUAGCCAACUAUGUGGGGAGUUGUGACAGGAGUUGCAGAUAUCUGAUAUAAAGACUGAUAACCAAACAGUGAGUGGUGUAGCAAAAAGAAUGAGACCUACAGGCACCAUCCACUGCUGUUCAUUUGUAGGAUGAUAAUAAAACUCCCACCAAGCCAAUAUUAGCCCACCCACCAUGCUUACUGAAAAUGAUCCCAAGCAAACUAUCCAUAUCUUUACAAUCCUCAGAAAUCUUCUGUAUCUCUCAUCUUCCGUGUCUUCAUAUGAUGCCAUCAAGUGUCUGAUGUCGAAAUCCUUUACGUGUUUUCUUCGCGUGGAAAAGUUUUGAUAGAACAACGAGAGAUUAGACGACUGAAACCUACUGAAACAGAAAUGGUAAGAGGCUUUAUAUAUAGAUGCCUUGAAUUAGGCAGGCUAUUCCCAUUGAACCUCCAUCAGACGUGCCUUUUGACUAAAGUUGUUCCCUGUAGAAACCAUCAUCAUGUAGAGAGGAAGAACAUCAUUGCGUCUCGGUUUUUCUAUACAAGAAGUGAUUGAUAGAGGUUUGUGCUGGGGUAGAUUCAUUUCGUUUAAUAAGCCUAUCAAAAUUUCAUUUGACAA
This is a long non-coding RNA of Olea europaea var. sylvestris, 3977 nucleotides long. RefSeq lists it as uncharacterized. The transcript is spliced from 3 exons. The record is from RefSeq and is a predicted model, not a curated record. NCBI's taxonomy places the organism in Eukaryota, Viridiplantae, Streptophyta, Magnoliopsida, Lamiales, Oleaceae.